GACGGAGGGCGGGGGUGUUAUUCGUUUUGAUUGGGUGUAAAGGGUACGUAGGCUGUGUACAAUAAUUUUUGGCAAAAAGUGCGGAGUGUUCCUACGCAACUGCCUUUUAUCUGAGUACACUUGUGUUGGGGAUAGGUCGGGGCAAAUUCUUAUGUAGGGGUAAAAUCCUGCCAUAUAAGAAUGAACGUCAGCUGGCGAAGGCGCCUUUCUAGCCCCAUCAGACGCUAAGGUACGGAAGCUUAGGUAGCAAACGGG
This 255-nucleotide ribosomal RNA is filed under the name uncultured bacterium. RNAcentral's name for it is "partial 16S ribosomal RNA". It matches the Rfam family "Bacterial small subunit ribosomal RNA", at positions 524 to 776 of the family's 1533-position model. The record is from RNAcentral.